RNAcentral lists this long non-coding RNA (1488 nucleotides) under Ficedula albicollis (Collared flycatcher). RNAcentral describes it as "lncRNA (ENSFALG00000023204.1)". Lineage: Eukaryota; Metazoa; Chordata; Aves; Passeriformes; Muscicapidae. The record is from RNAcentral.
AUUAGCACGGUGGUGUGGCCAUCCUUCAAUCUGGCCCUGGGAACUGGUCACUCCCAUGUGUCCUUACAUGCCACUAAUGCAGGCGCAAUCCUUGCACAAUUCUUGUUCCUUGAAGGGAGAUGAAUAUUCAGAAAGAGCCAUGUUCCAGGAAAAUGAGCAGAGAUUUUGCCCCCAGGAUGACACCCAGUUUCUUUAAUCCCUUUUGAAGGGCAAGUGAGCAGAAGCUCGUUGACAGGAAACAUUCCUGGUCUACCCUCAAACUUGUGAAUACUCACUGGAGUACAGAAAUUCUGAUUCACCUUGUGUUUGCAGUCUGGAGCUUUGACCAAUCUUCUUUGCUUUCCCCUUCUGCCCUCAUCUACAACUGACCUGUGCUUUCCUCCUGGCAGUCUUCACCCAUGAAGAGUCAGCUGUGCCACACACUGGGACACCUGUGACCACACACAAGACCAGCACAGCCACCUCCAUCAGCAGCACCUCCAAGACCUCUGUCUCCACAGGGCCCAGCCCAGCAAGCAGCACAGGAGCCCCUCUGGAAACAACCUCUGCCCAUGCCAGCUCUCCACCUGCCCCCAGCAGCCCGCUCAGCACAAGGCUGCCAUCCACUGCCACCACUUCCACUGGCUCCUCCACAGCAGCUGCCAGCACCAGCCCCAGGCCUACACCUACAACCCUGAGGCCCAGGCCCUCUUCCCCAGCAACCCAAGCUGCAAAGGAGUCUCCUGUAACAGAGUCCUCUGCAUCCACCACAGCCAAAACCAGCACGCUGCCACAACCUGCUUCUUCUCCCUCCUCAACUGUGUCCUCAACAUGGCUCAGCUCCUCACAGCCUGCCUUCACCCAUGAAGAGUCAGCUGUGCCACACACUGGGACACCUGUGACCACACACAAGACCAGCACAGCCACCUCCAUCAGCAGCACCUCCAAGACCUCUGUCUCCACAGGGCCCAGCCCAGCAAGCAGCACAGGAGCCCCUCUGGAAACAACCUCUGCCCAUGCCAGCUCUCCACCUGCCCCCAGCAGCCCGCUCAGCACAAGGCUGCCAUCCACUGCCACCACUUCCACUGGCUCCUCCACAGCAGCUGCCAGCACCAGCCCCAGGCCUACACCUACAACCCUGAGGCCCAGGCCCUCUUCCCCAGCAACCCAAGCUGCAAAGGAGUCUCCUGUAACAGAGUCCUCUGCAUCCACCACAGCCAAAACCAGCACGCUGCCACAACCUGCUUCUUCUCCCUCCUCAACUGUGUCCUCAACAUGGCUCAGCUCCUCACAGCCUGCCUUCACCCACGAAGUGCCACAUGCUGAGACAGCUGUAACCACAGAGAAGACCACGGCCACCACCUCCAUCAGCAGCACCUCCAAGACCUCUGUCUCCACAGGGCCCAGCCCAGCAAGCAGCACAGGAGCCCCUCUGGAAACAGCACCCCCCCCCCCCCCCCCCCCCCCCCCCCCCCCCCCCCCCCCCCCCCCCCCCCCCCCCCCCCCCCC